RNAcentral lists this long non-coding RNA (466 nucleotides) under Sorghum bicolor (sorghum). RNAcentral's name for it is "long non-coding RNA (SBIC_LNC007124)". Lineage: Eukaryota; Viridiplantae; Streptophyta; Magnoliopsida; Poales; Poaceae. The record is from RNAcentral.
CGGACGGGCAGGCAGAAAAUUUUAGAGGCAGACUAAAAUUUUCACAAUUUGUUAGUAGUGAAAGAGCAUCUAGGCCCCUAGUGGUUUCGAUGAUUAAUGACAUUGUUGAUUACUAUGACUAACGUGUGUUUUGCAGAGGCAAAGUCAUAGGUAAGGUUAUGGUAUAUAGAUACUCGAUGGACAGGGACGUACAUGCCUACUUAAUAGUGAAAAUCGUUUUCGGUUUUCAAAGAAUGGAUGGACAUCGUCAAGACUAGACUGGGUCUAAGUGCCAUAUGGUGAAGAAGGGCACUUAGAGUAGUUUAGGACUUUGUUUUCCUUUGACCGUACUAUUAAGAGGGGCUUUGAUCUAGUAGCUUGACUUAGGCAAGGCUUUAGGUUUAGGUGUGGUGCACACUUGGUAAACCUAGCACUAGGCAGCUCUGAGAUAGUCCUUAGAUCGAGAGGAACAAACUUCGUGUUGGAG